GCCUGGGUGGCUCAGUCGGUUGAGCGUCUGACUUCAGCUCAGGUCACGAUCUCGCGGUUUGUGAGUUCGAGCCCCACGUCGGGCU
This 85-nucleotide transfer RNA is filed under the name Felis catus (domestic cat). It matches the Rfam family "tRNA". Rfam says of the family: Transfer RNA (tRNA) molecules are approximately 80 nucleotides in length. Lineage: Eukaryota; Metazoa; Chordata; Mammalia; Carnivora; Felidae. The record is from Rfam by way of RNAcentral.